ACUGCACGUGUCCUUCUCCAAGCGAGCUCAAUUCAAGCUCUCACUCUCCAGACCCAUCCCCCUUCCUCUUCUCUGCAAAAUUUUCCCAAUUUCCCGAGAAGAUUCAGCUGCAAAUCCCAAUUUUCCCCGAGAAAACCCGCUCUCCACACGUCUCCUCGACCUCCUAAAGCUCAUGCUGUCCAAAUCACCAAAAUGACCCUAUCUCCUUCCCUCUCCAUCCCCAGCCCCUCGCCCAUCUCCACUAAAAUCAUCAAAUCCAAACACACCUUCCCAUUCCCAAUCCUUCCUUCCCACCGCAGACUAGUCUCAUUCUCUAGCGACCGGAAAGCCUAUUCCGGCGCCGGGAGAGCCAGAGCUAAGCCGAAAGAACUCGUCCUCGGCAACCCUUCCGUAGUCGUCGAGAAAGGCAAGUACAGUUACGAUGUCGAAACCCUAAUUAACAAACUAAGCAGCUUACCUCCACGCGGCAGCAUAGCAAGAUGUCUCGACGUUUUCAAAAACAAGCUUUCGCUAAACGACUUCGCUCUGGUCUUCAAGGAAUUCGCGCAGCGCGGUGAUUGGCAAAGGUCGUUACGGCUCUUCAAGCAUAUGCAGCGUCAAAUAUGGUGUAAGCCAAAUGAGCAUAUUUAUACAAUUAUGAUUAGCUUGUUAGGCCGCGAAGGCCUCCUCGAAAAAUGCAGCGAUAUUUUCGAGGAAAUGGGUGCGCACGGAGUGUCACGCAGUGUGUUUUCCUACACUGCAUUGAUUAAUUCCUACGGCCGGAAUGGUAAGUAUGAGGUCUCUCUUGAAUUUCUUGAAAGAAUGAAGAAGGAAAGGGUUUCGCCCAGUAUUUUGACGUAUAAUACUGUUAUUAAUUCGUGUGCGAGAGGUGGGUUAGAUUGGGAGGGUCUGCUAGGUUUGUUUGCCGAAAUGAGGCAUGAAGGAAUACAACCUGAUAUUGUCACAUAUAAUACUCUGCUUUGUGCUUGUUCUAAUAGGGGAUUAGGGGAUGAGGCAGAGAUGGUAUUUAGGACAAUGAAUGAAGGAGGGGUUGUGCCUGAUAUAACAACAUACACUUAUCUUGUUGAUACUUUUGGGAAAUUGAAUAGGUUAGACAAGGUUAGUGAAUUGCUCAAGGAGAUGGCUUCUACUGGCAAUGUACCUGAGAUUUCAUCGUAUAAUGUGUUAUUAGAGGCAUAUGCAAGAAUAGGGAAUAUUGAGGAUGCUACGGGGGUGUUUCGGCUGAUGCAAGAAGCGGGAUGUGUGCCCAAUGCAGAGACGUAUAGUAUAUUGUUGGGUUUGUAUGGGAAGCAUGAGAGGUAUGAUGAAGUAAGAGAGCUAUUUUUGGAGAUGAAAGUGAGUGACACGGAGCCUGAUGCAGCUACAUAUAAUACACUUAUAGAUGUAUUUGGUGAGGGUGGGUAUUAUAAGGAGGUGGUGACAUUGUUUCAUGAUAUGGCGGAGGAAAAUGUUGAGCCCAAUAUGGAAACUUAUGAGGGGUUGAUAUUUGCUUGUGGGAAAGGUGGGCUACAUGAUGAUGCUAAGAAGAUUUUACUUCAUAUGAGUGAAAAGGGGAUGAUACCAAGUUCAAAGGCAUGUACUGGAGUUAUUGAAGCAUAUGGACAAGCUGCGAUGUAUGAGGAAGCUCUUGUGAUGCUUAAUACUAUGAAUGAAAUGGGCAGCAAGCCAACGAUUGAGACUUACAAUACACUGAUUUACAUGUUUGCAAGAGGUGGGUUAUACAAGGAAACUGAAGCUAUUUUGUUGAAAAUGGGUGAUUUUGGGGUUGCUAGGGACAGGGAUUCUUUCAAUGGUGUGAUUGAAGGCUUUAGACAAGGCGGUCAGUUUGAAGAAGCUAUUAAGGCUUAUGUUGAGAUGGAAAAAUCUAGAUUAAUUCCUGAUGAACGGACACUUGAGGCAGUCUUAAGUGUUUAUUGCAUAGCGGGUCUUGUUGAUGAGAGUGUGGAGCAAUUUCAGGAAAUUAAAGCAUUGGGAAUAUUGCCGAAUGUCAUGUGCUAUUGUAUGAUGCUGGCUGUUUAUGCUAAGAGUGACAGAUGGAAUGAGGCCUAUGAGCUUCUUGAUGAGAUGCUAACGAAUAGGGCGUCAAAUAUCCAUCAAGUGAUUGGGCAGAUGAUCAAGGGAGAUUUUGAUGAUGACUCUAACUGGCAAAUGGUAGAGUAUGUUUUUGACAAACUUAAUUCUGAAGGGUGUGGCUUGGGAAUGAGGUUUUAUAAUACACUUCUAGAAGCACUAUGGUGGCUCGGCCAGAAAGAACGGGCUGUGAGGGUUCUUGGUGAAGCAACGAAGAGAGGGCAUUUCCCUGAACUUUUCCGUAAAAGCAAACUUGUGUGGUCUGUGGAUAUUCACAGGAUGUGGGAAGGAAGUGCAUACACAGCAAUAUCUGUCUGGCUCAAUAACAUGUACAAGAUGUUCAUGAAUAGAGAGGAUAUUCCCCAACUUGCAUCAGUCAUUGUGGUACGGGGACUGUUGGAGAAAAGCUCAGUUGCACAAGAUUUUCCAAUUGGGAAGGCUGUACAUUCGUUUCUGCAGGAUAUUGUGCCAUCUUCAUUUUCUUACUCUGGAUGGAACAAAGGUCGAAUUACCUGCCAACGUUCCCAGCUCAAGCGCUUUCUGUUGGGAACAGAAUCAGUUUCAGAUGGGACCAAGAAAGAUAAAUUCAUUAUGUUAACUAACUCCCCUCUUUCUCUUGCUGGAGCAAGAACAUCGAGUGAUAUUGAGACUAGCCAACACAACAAAUCCAAUUCUGGAGCUAGAAUGGGAACCAGUACAGAGCUUAUGACAAGCACAGUUUAAGUCGAUAUGCAUAAUCCGUUCAUCAGUUUUCAGGGCCUGGAAAAUCUGCAUCCCGUAUUCCAGUUAAAAGAGCUAUGAGCCAAGGAUUGAUCUGUUGCUGUUUUUUUCUUUUUUAAUGUGUCCACACGUGGAAAUCAACAAAGUGUUUGCGGAGGUCAAUAUCAACAACCACAUUGCUGGAAUAAAGUAGAAAGUGGGACGUGGUGUAACAUCAAGUUCCUUGGUUCGAUAGUGGGGAGAGCUCGGAUGAUGAAAAGGAUUACUAGUUUUGUAGCAGUAGAUUAAUUUCUCACAUCUGCAACUUGAAGAGGCAGAGAGAAGAAGAGGAGGUGCCUUCCAUGAGGAUAGAGAGGCAAAGCAAUGUAGCUGGCUAAUUCAAAUGCAUUUCUCUUACUUUAAUGAAUGGGAAUUUGUCACUCAUGUCGAAUGGAAUGUAUUGUUAACGAUUUGAUCAAUAAACGAAGUGCUGGAAUCUCCAGUUUCUUGCAUUUUUGCCCUAAAAUGUUUAAACAGUUGACAACAGAUGAAAUUGGCAUUCGCAGAAGCGAGCUCCCUCGAAUUGUUAAAAUAUGUUUGCGUUGGACACUGAUGCUGCUUCAUGGAGUUUUUGGCACAGGAUGAAUUUCUUCAAGGAAGCUCUUCUGAGUUUCCAUUCCUGUUAGAUGUUUAUAAGCUUCUUUGUAGUUAUUUGUUGAACAUCCAUGGUGCCUGCAACUUUGUCUUUUCUGUGAGAGAUGUAAAAGAAACUUUAUUUUCAUUUUGCGUCUCUUGUAUUUUGUUGAAGCAUAUUUGGAGGGUUACAAGCUAAGUUUAACGCAA
Populus euphratica (Euphrates poplar) is the source of this 3612-nucleotide RNA transcript. It is a transcript of the gene named plastid transcriptionally active 2, with no coding region annotated. The record is from RefSeq and is a predicted model, not a curated record. The transcript is spliced from 5 exons. Lineage: Eukaryota; Viridiplantae; Streptophyta; Magnoliopsida; Malpighiales; Salicaceae.